This is an RNA transcript of Helianthus annuus (common sunflower), 1214 nucleotides long. RefSeq lists it as uncharacterized. The record is from RefSeq and is a predicted model, not a curated record. The transcript has 9 exons. NCBI's taxonomy places the organism in Eukaryota, Viridiplantae, Streptophyta, Magnoliopsida, Asterales, Asteraceae.
UUUGUCGUUCAAGCAAGUGGUGACGAUUUCAUGACCAGGAAAGUGAAGAGACAGAGAGACAAGGAGAAAUCGAAAGAGAGAGGAGGAUGGAGAUCAGGAAAUAAGAGGGGGGCCUAUCGAUGAUGGGGACGACCGUAAAACUGCGUCUUCAGGCGGCGGCGAUGAUGGUUUGAUGAACACCUGUUACACAGAUUAAUUCAUGCACUAGGACUAAUAUGGAUCUGCUAUGGUUUAAAAAAUCUCGUGGAACAAACCCUGCGCAUUAUUAUCCAACAAAUUUCAAGGAAAAUCGAGCAAAUUUCAGGGUUGAAAUUGACAUUUGUCUUUCUGCAGAUGAACCGUUGGGUUUCCCUCGAUUUUAAGACACCGCCAGUGAUGGUAGCGAUGGGUUGCUUGGAUUGAACAUCUGGCCUAUUUGAUGACGAUUAGGGUCCAGAGUAGGCGAUUCACAACUCUAAGUAAUUCCCCCUAAAAUUAGAUUACGACGACGAUGAAGCCGUUGUCGAUCCGGAUAUCAUCCCUGACGAACCAGAAGAUAUCGGUGAUGAAGAAGGUGAAGGUGAAGGCGAAGAUCUGUACGGCGAUAAUUACAUCAAUGAUUACCGGAGGAUGGAAGAGCACGAUCAGUAUGAAUCGGUUGGAUUGGAUGAAUCGCUUGAGGACGAGAGAGAUCUGGAUCAGAUUAUGGCGGAUCGUAGGGCUGCAGAGAUGGAACUUGAUGCUAGAGUCGGUGUUGCUUCUCAACGGAAGCUUCAUCAUCUGCUUCAUGAUCAAGGUACAACUUUGAUCCGGUGAUGAGAAGCCGUCUAUGGUGGUACAACUUUGAUCCGGUGAUGAGAAGCCGUCUUGGUUGGUGCAUUGAAUGGCUUCAAGCAAACUUUCUUGUGCUUGAUGAUAUCAUGGAUGAGUCUCAUACAAACAGAGAGAACUUCAUGACAGGAUAUCAGUUGGUUUUUUAUAGGGAAAAUCUUACACUCGGAUGCUCACACUCAAGAUUUGGAUCUUUAUCUGCUAUCCGAGAAAUGGAAGGCGCUUAUAGAGAAUGCGCAGUCAAAGAAACUUCAACCCUAUGGACGUAUAUCAUUAAAGUAUAUUAUUUGAGAACGGGAUUGGAUCGAAGUAUAUGGACAUGUACAAAUCCCUAAUAUCGUUAAUGUUAAUAAAGUUGUAAAUAAACCUACUUUUAUUGUUUUGAUGAAAAUUUGUUAUGGUUU